AACGAACGCUGGCGGCAGGCUUAACACAUGCAAGUCGAGCGCCCCGCAAGGGGCGCGGCAGACGGGUGAGUAACGCGUGGGAACGUACCUUUUGGUUCGGAACAACUCCGGGAAACUGGAGCUAAUACCGGAUAAGCCCUAACGGGGAAAGAUUUAUCGCCUAAGGAUCGGCCCGCGUCUGAUUAGCUAGUUGGUGAGGUAACGGCUCACCAAGGCGACGAUCAGUAGCUGGUCUGAGAGGAUGAGCAGCCACACUGGGACUGAGACACGGCCCAGACUCCUACGGGAGGCAGGAGUGGGGAAUAUAGGAAAAUGGGCGCAAGCCUGAUCCAGCCAUGCCGCGUGAGUGAUGAAGGCCUUAGGGUUGUAAAGCUCUUUUGUCCGGGAAGAUAAUGACUGUACCGGAAGAAUAAGCCCCGGCUAACUUCGUG
RNAcentral lists this ribosomal RNA (431 nucleotides) under uncultured bacterium. RNAcentral's name for it is "partial 16S ribosomal RNA". It matches the Rfam family "Bacterial small subunit ribosomal RNA", at positions 29 to 507 of the family's 1533-position model. The record is from RNAcentral.